Molecule: non-coding RNA, 20 nt
Filed under: Arabidopsis thaliana (thale cress)
Lineage: Eukaryota; Viridiplantae; Streptophyta; Magnoliopsida; Brassicales; Brassicaceae
Source: RNAcentral
CGGCCAUGCGUAUUGUUCGU